GCCCCGGUAGCCUAACCUGGACCAGGCACAGUCCUCCUAAGACUGUUCAUGCGGGUUCAAAUCCCGUCUGGGGCG
Molecule: transfer RNA, 75 nt
Filed under: archaeon
Lineage: Archaea
Also listed under: 1 other name
Description: tRNA-Arg
Rfam family: tRNA
About the family: Transfer RNA (tRNA) molecules are approximately 80 nucleotides in length.
Source: RNAcentral